UACGGAGGGUGCAAGCGUUAUCCGGAUUCACUGGGUUUAAAGGGUGCGUAGGCGGUUCGUCAAGUCCUGUGUGAAAUCCCCCGGCUCAACUGGGGAACUGCACAGGAAACUAGCGGGCUUGAGUUCGGGAGAGGGAAGCGGAAUUCCCAGUGUAGCGGUGAAAUGCGUAGAUAUUGGGAGGAACACCAGUGGCGAAGGCGGCUACCUGGACCGGUUCUGACGCUGAGGCGCGAAGGCGUGGGGAGCGAACGGG
Molecule: ribosomal RNA, 253 nt
Filed under: uncultured bacterium
Lineage: Bacteria
Description: partial 16S ribosomal RNA
Rfam family: Bacterial small subunit ribosomal RNA
Source: RNAcentral